GGACAGGUGGCCGAGUGGCUUAAGGCGCACGCUUGGAAAGCGUGUUAGGGUUCAUCCCCUACCAGGGUUCGAAUCCCUGUCUGUCCGCCA
This 90-nucleotide transfer RNA is filed under the name Micavibrio sp. RNAcentral describes it as "tRNA-Ser". It matches the Rfam family "tRNA". From Rfam's summary of the family: Transfer RNA (tRNA) molecules are approximately 80 nucleotides in length. Lineage: Bacteria; Pseudomonadati; Bdellovibrionota; Bdellovibrionia; Bdellovibrionales; Pseudobdellovibrionaceae. The record is from RNAcentral.